This 468-nucleotide ribosomal RNA is filed under the name uncultured bacterium. Its description in RNAcentral is "partial 16S ribosomal RNA". It matches the Rfam family "Bacterial small subunit ribosomal RNA", at positions 28 to 507 of the family's 1533-position model. The record is from RNAcentral.
GACGAACGCUGGCGGCGUGCUUAACACAUGCAAGUCGAACGGAAAGGCCCUGCUUUUGUGGGGUGCUCGAGUGGCGAACGGGUGAGUAACACGUGAGUAACCUGCCCUUGACUUUGGGAUAACUUAAGGAAACUGGGGCUAAUACCGGAUAGGAGCUCCUGCUGCAUGGUGGGGGUUGGAAAGUUUCGGCGGUUGGGGAUGGACUCGCGGCUUAUCAGCUUGUUGGUGGGGUAGUGGCUUACCAAGGGUUUGACGGGUAGCCGGCCUGGGAGGGUGACCGGCCACAAGGGGACUGCGAUACGGCCCAGACUCCUACGGGAGGCAGCAGUGGGGAAUAUUGCACAAUGGGCGGAAGCCGGAUGCAGCAACGCCGCGUGCGUGAUGACGGCCUGCGGGUUGUAAACCGCUGUCGCCUGUGACGAAGCGUGAGUGACGGUAAUGGGUAAAGAAGCACCGGCUAACUACGUG